UGCGUUUUUGACCUGUAUUUUUAUUUUUAAUCCCGUAUUUGUUGGGCUGGACCGUAUAAUAGUGUAUACAUGAUGUAUUUCAGCCUGUUUUCAGCCUUUGAGACCUGUAAUGCAACUCCUCUUUCGAUUGUUUCAACUUCCGAAUUUCAAACAGAGAUGAAGGCCGACUCAAAAUGCAACACGGAUGUGGACAACAAAGUCCAAGAGACUCGGUUGAC
Long non-coding RNA from Solanum stenotomum, 218 nucleotides. RefSeq lists it as uncharacterized. The transcript has 2 exons. The record is from RefSeq and is a predicted model, not a curated record. NCBI's taxonomy places the organism in Eukaryota, Viridiplantae, Streptophyta, Magnoliopsida, Solanales, Solanaceae.